CCGCGAACGGGUGAGUAACACGUGGGUAACCUGCCCCGAUGAUUGGGACAACCCGAGGAAACUCGGGCUAAUACCAAAUGUGCUUUCGAGUCGUAAGGCUCGUUAGGAAAGGUAGCUUCGGCUUCCGCAUCGGGAUGGGCCCGCGGCCCAUUAGCUUGUUGGUGGGGUAACGGCCUACCAAGGCUUCGAUGGGUAGCUGGUCUGAGAGGACGAUCAGCCACACUGGGACUGAGACACGGCCCAG
Molecule: ribosomal RNA, 244 nt
Filed under: uncultured bacterium
Lineage: Bacteria
Description: partial 16S ribosomal RNA
Rfam family: Bacterial small subunit ribosomal RNA
Source: RNAcentral